GUUCACCCACAGCCCUGCCCUUCAGGAACCUACAGUAACAGCACGGGUCUCCAACAUGCAGAGCAGUGUGUCCACUGUCCUCCAGGUUAUUAUUGUUUAGGAACAAACUCUACGUCCCCUUCUGGUCCAUGCUUUGCGGGGUAUUACUGCACCGGAGGUUCAGCCACACCAAUCCAACACGAAGCUGAGGAGGGACACUACUCUUUGGAAGGAGCUGUCAGGGCCGAACCAUGCCCAUUGGGAACUUUCCAACUAGGAAGAGGCUACAACUCAUGCAUUGAAUGCCAAUCAGGAAGAUUGUGCAACAAGACAGGCCUAUCCCAGCAGCCCCUGUGCCCACCUGGAAACUUCUGCCCUGCUGGAUCCUUAAUUGCUCACCCAUGUCCCCCUGGUACAUACACGGCAAGUUCAGGGGUGGAGGAUCUGCAGCACUGCGGCCCAUGUGAUGCUGGUCAGUACUGCCGCUCUCCUGGACUGACUGCUCCUCAGGGACCCUGUGAGCCUGGUUUUUACUGCACUGGUGGAUCUCAUGUUGGCUCUCCGAUUAGCUCCAGAUAUGGUGACAUAUGCCCC
Cyprinus carpio carpio is the source of this 573-nucleotide long non-coding RNA. Lineage: Eukaryota; Metazoa; Chordata; Actinopteri; Cypriniformes; Cyprinidae. The record is from Ensembl.